GUUGACACUUUUGAACUGUGGUGUUAGAGAAGACUCUUGAGAGUCCCUUGGACUGCAAGGAGAUCCAACCAGUCAAUCCUAAAGGAAAUCAGUCCUGAAUAUUCGUUAGAAGGACUGAUGCUGAAGUUGAAACUCCAAUCCUUUGGCCACCUGAUGCGAAGAAUUGACUCAUUUGAAAAGACCCUGAUGCUGGGAAAGAUUGAGGGCAGGAGGAGAAGGGGAUGACAGAGGAUGAGAUGGUUGGAUGGCAUCACCAACUUGAUGGACCGAGUUUGAGCAAGCUUCAGGAGCUGGUGAUGGACAGGGAGGCCUGGCGUGCUGCAGUCCAUGGGGUCGCAAAGAGUCGGACCCAACUAAGUGACUGAAAUGAACUGAACUGCACCCUUUAUUUGGGAAGGGAGAGGCAAGGUGUGUUUUUAUUUUUUUAUUAGCUCUAUUAUUGGAGCAGCAGAGUGAGGUAAUAAACACAUCCAUCUUGGAGCCUUCCUGCCUGAGUCUGAUUAUGACUCCAUGCCUGUCUUAGUUUGCUAGGGCUGCCAUUAUCAAAAUACCCCGAACUGAGUGACUUAAACACCAGAAAUUUAUUCUCACAAUUCUGGAGGCUAGAAGUCCCAGAUCAAGAUGUGAGCAGGGUUGGUUGUCCGGUGGAACACAAUUCAAGUGCUUCUUGAAUCUGUCUCCCAGCCUUUAAUCCUCAGUAUGGCUUUUUAAAAAACCUCUUUUCUAUUCCUAGAAUAGGUUGGUUUAUUGAGUAUUUCCCUCUACAGUUCCAACUGACUAGCAGAAUACACAGGAGAAAGUCAAUAAACAUUUCUUGAUGGAAUGAAAGUAAGAAUUUGGCAAUACAGGAAGGAGAGGCCUAAAGAACGGAAGAGGAGAGGAUUGGAGGAGAGGGAAGAAAGAAGAGAAGACACGGCAAGUAGGUGCAAGUAUUCCCCAAGAAGAAUGUUCAUUUUGUCAAAGACAGCACUAUUUGCCACCCUUGUGGGAAUUUCAUAGUACUUAUUUAUACUGAAAUCAAGAAAAAGACUAUACUCCAGUGUAUGAAUGGAAUUGUGGGCAUCCUGGCAACUAGUGUUCCUUAUGAAGUUGUGGCUUUUUCUGACAGCAGCUCUGAUCCCUCAUCUACAUAUACAACUUCCUCUGAAAUGACCAGAAAGAUCAAAUUAAAAGAUAGAAGAUCAGACAAGCCUGAACAUUCCAUUAGGCCAAAACCUGAUCCAGAGCAAGUCCCUAACUGUCUUUAAUUCUUUGAAGGCUGAGUGAGGUGAGGAAGUUGCAGAAGAGAAGUUUGAAGCUACCAGUGAUUGGCUCAAGAGGUUCAAAGAAAGAUGCUAUCUCCAUAACAUAAAAGUACAAGGUGAAGCAAGAAAUGCUGAUGUAGAAGCGGCAGCAAGUUAUCCAUAAGAUCUAACUAGGUGACUACACUAAAAACAGAUUUUCAGUGUAAACAAAACAGCCUUGUAUUGGAAGAAGACGUCAUUUAGGACUUUCCUAGCUAGAUAGGAAAAGUCAAUGCCUGGCUUCAAAGCUUCAAAGGACAGAUUGACUCUCUUGUUAGAGGCUAAUGCAGUGCGUGACUUGAAGUUGAAGCCAGUGCUCAUUUAACCUUCUGAAAGUCUGGGGGUCUUUAUAAUUAAUAACAAAUCUCCUCCAUCUGUGCUCUAUACAUGGAAUGACGUAGCCUGGAUAACAACACAUCUGUUGACAGCAUAGUUUACUGAGUAUUUUAAGCUCACUAUUGAAACCUACUGCUCAGAAAAGAUUCCUUUCAAAAUACUACUCAUUGACAAUGCACCUGGUCACCCAAGAGCUCUGAUGGAGAUGUACAAUGGGAUUGAUGCUGUUUUCCUGUCCUAACACAACAUCCUUUCUGCAGCCCAUGAAUCAAAGAGGAAUUUCAACUUUAAAGUCUUAUAAUUUAGGACUUGAAUGUUGUGAGGCAAUAGCUGCCAUAGGUAGUGACUCCUUUACUAGAUCUGGGUAAAGUAGCUUGGAAAUCUCUGGAAAGUGUUCACUGCUCUAGAUGCCAUUAAGAACAUUCAUGACUCAUUGGAAGAGGUCAAAAUAUCAGUAUUAACAGGGGUUUGGAAGAAGUUGAUUCUAUCCUUGAUGGAUAACUUUGAGGGGUUCCAGAUUUAGUGGAAAAAGUUACAGUACAUGUAGUAGAAAUAGCAGGAAAACUAAAACUAGAAAUUUAGCCUGAAGAUGUGACUGAAUUGCUGCAAUCUCAUGAUAAAAAUUGAAUGGAUGCAGAGUUGUUUUUUUAUUGCUGAGCAUAGGAAGUGCUUUCUUGAGAAGGAAUCUACUCCUGGCAAAAAUGCUAUGACAAUUGUUGAAAUGGUAACAAAAGGUUUAGAACAUUAUAUAAACUUAGUUGAUAAAGCAGUGACAGGGUUUAAAAGGAUUGACUCCAGUUUUGAAAGAGGUUUUAUUGUUGCUAAAUGCUGUCAAACAGAAUUGCAUGCUACAGAGAAAUUAUUCAUGAAUGGGUGAGUAAAUCAAGCGAACUUCACUGUGGUCCUAUUUUAAUAAAGCCACAGCCACCCCAAUCUUUAGCAAUCACCAACCCCAAUCAACAGCCAUGAACAAGAAGGCAAGACCCUCCACCAGCAAAAAGCUUAUGAUUCUCUAAACGCUCAGCUGAUGGUUAUUAUUUUUAGA
Molecule: long non-coding RNA, 2664 nt
Organism: Dama dama (fallow deer)
Lineage: Eukaryota; Metazoa; Chordata; Mammalia; Artiodactyla; Cervidae
Exons: 3
Source: RefSeq, a predicted model, not a curated record